AAACUUCCUGACCCUCCUGGAGGAGACAUCAUAGGAAACAGCUUGAAACAGCAACAUAAUGCUGGGGUGAUUGUGGUUGUGCUCCUCCUUGUCGCCAUCGUGGCUGCAGUACUGGUGGUGUUGUAUAAAAAAGGGAUAAUUGGGUCCAGAGUGUCUUGGAGCAGAGGUGGUUCUAGCCCUGAUGCCUCAUAUUCCCAAUGAUGAAGAUGUGAACAAACCUCUCCUGCCGGACAAGAAAGACCAGAAAGACAACAGCCAAGGUAACAGCUCUGAUGGCAGCAGUCAGCCUCUCCUUCCGAUACUGUUUUAAGUCUGAGAGGAACCAGCUCACCACACAAAAACAGUUUUCCA
Long non-coding RNA from Thunnus maccoyii (southern bluefin tuna), 351 nucleotides. RefSeq lists it as uncharacterized. NCBI's taxonomy places the organism in Eukaryota, Metazoa, Chordata, Actinopteri, Scombriformes, Scombridae. The transcript is spliced from 4 exons. The record is from RefSeq and is a predicted model, not a curated record.